RNAcentral lists this transfer RNA (96 nucleotides) under Pseudomonadota bacterium. RNAcentral's name for it is "Proteobacteria bacterium (cold seep metagenome) tRNA-Sec". It matches the Rfam family "Selenocysteine transfer RNA". Lineage: Bacteria; Pseudomonadati; Pseudomonadota. The record is from RNAcentral.
GGAAGAGGAUAGGGCCCGGUGGCCCUGCAGGUCUUCAAAACCUGUCUGUCGUCUUUAAUGGGGAUUGGUCGGUUCGACUCCGGCCCUCUUCCGCCA